GCUGGGUAUGGUGGUGCAUGCCUGUAAUCCCAGCUACUCGGGAGGCUGAGGCAGGAGAAUCGCUUGAACCCAGGAGAUGGAGGAUGCAGUGAGCAGGACCACGCCACUGCACUCCAGCCUGGGUGACAGAGUGAGACUCUGUCACAC
Unclassified non-coding RNA from Macaca fascicularis (crab-eating macaque), 147 nucleotides. It matches the Rfam family "Metazoan signal recognition particle RNA". Rfam says of the family: The signal recognition particle (SRP) is a universally conserved ribonucleoprotein. It is involved in the co-translational targeting of proteins to membranes. NCBI's taxonomy places the organism in Eukaryota, Metazoa, Chordata, Mammalia, Primates, Cercopithecidae. The record is from Ensembl.